Molecule: ribosomal RNA, 713 nt
Filed under: uncultured soil bacterium
Lineage: Bacteria
Description: bacterial SSU rRNA
Rfam family: Bacterial small subunit ribosomal RNA
Source: RNAcentral
ACAUGCAAGUCGAGGGGUAGAAGUCUUCGGACUUUGAGACCGGCGCACGGGUGCGUAACGCGUAUGCAAUCUGCCUUUUACAGAGGGAUAGCCCAGAGAAAUUUGGAUUAAUACCUCAUAGUAUUAUGAAAUGGCAUCAUUUUAUAAUUAAAGUCACAACGGUAAAAGAUGAGCAUGCGUCCCAUUAGCUUGUUGGUAAGGUAACGGCUUACCAAGGCUACGAUGGGUAGGGGUCCUGAGAGGGAGACCCCCCACACUGGUACUGAGACACGGACCAGACUCCUACGGGAGGCAGCAGUGAGGAAUAUUGGACAAUGGGCGCAAGCCUGAUCCAGCCAUGCCGCGUGCAGGAUGACGGUCCUAUGGAUUGUAAACUGCUUUUAUACGAGAAGAAACACUCCUACGUGUAGGAGCUUGACGGUAUCGUAAGAAUAAGGAUCGGCUAACUCCGUGCCAGCAGCCGCGGUAAUACGGAGGAUCCAAGCGUUAUCCGGAAUCAUUGGGUUUAAAGGGUCCGUAGGCGGCUUAGUAAGUCAGUGGUGAAAGCCCAUUGCUCAACGGUGGAACGGCCAUUGAUACUGCUGAACUUGAAUUAUUAGGAAGUAACUAGAAUAUGUAGUGUAGCGGUGAAAUGCUUAGAGAUUACAUGGAAUACCUAUUGCGAAGGCAGGUUACUACUAAUGGAUUGACGCUGAUGGACGAAAGCGUGGGUA